GACCUAGUGAUCAGAGAUGGCACAACCAGCCAGCCGUGUCUGCAUCAUGUGCAUCAUAGCAUAUUUAUUUUUCAAAAGAAACGCAAUGAAAAAAUCAGAAAAAAAAAAGAAAAAAAGAAAAUUUUCAAGGAACUCAAAGGAGUUUAUUUGCAAAAAUUUCAAAACAUGAAAAAACCGGGAAAAUUUUUUCACCUGAUAUAUCUGAUGAGAUAUUCUCGUAUAUGAUCAAAAUGCUAAAUAUUUCAAAGUUUGCAAAUAAAACCCUCGAGUUCCUUUGAAAUAAAGACAAGCAUAUGCAUAAACACUUCAUGCAUCAUUUGCAUCAGCAGGUUCUGUUCCGAUCUCCCGUCCUGUGGUCUGACCCUGCGAUCUUCAUUUAUUUUGAAGACGCACUUUGCCGGUAUUAUACCAGAGCCAUCUCUGCCAGAUUGAUGGAUCAUCCUGAGC
This 447-nucleotide long non-coding RNA is filed under the name Lathyrus oleraceus (garden pea). RNAcentral's name for it is "Pisum sativum (pea) long non-coding RNA (PSAT_LNC041674)". Lineage: Eukaryota; Viridiplantae; Streptophyta; Magnoliopsida; Fabales; Fabaceae. The record is from RNAcentral.